GCGCCGAUGGUUUAGUGGUAAAAUUCUCCGUUGCCAUUAGCAGCGUCGGGGAGCCGGGGGUUCGAUUCCCCCUCGGCGCA
This 80-nucleotide transfer RNA is filed under the name Colletotrichum zoysiae. RNAcentral describes it as "tRNA-Gly". It matches the Rfam family "tRNA". Rfam says of the family: Transfer RNA (tRNA) molecules are approximately 80 nucleotides in length. Their secondary structure includes four short double-helical elements and three loops (D, anti-codon, and T loops). The record is from RNAcentral. Lineage: Eukaryota; Fungi; Ascomycota; Sordariomycetes; Glomerellales; Glomerellaceae.